This 501-nucleotide ribosomal RNA is filed under the name uncultured Bacillus sp. RNAcentral describes it as "bacterial SSU rRNA". It matches the Rfam family "Bacterial small subunit ribosomal RNA", at positions 888 to 1396 of the family's 1533-position model. Lineage: Bacteria; Bacillati; Bacillota; Bacilli; Caryophanales; Bacillaceae. The record is from RNAcentral.
GCAAGACUGAAACUCAAAGGAUUGACGGGGGCCCGCACAAGCGGUGGAGCAUGUGGUUUAAUUCGAAGCAACGCGAAGAACUUACCAGGUCUUGACAUCCCGUUGACCGCUCUAGAGAUAGAGUUUUCCCUUCGGGGACAAGGUGACAGGUGGUGCAUGGUUGUCGUCAGCUCGUGUCGUGAGAUGUUGGGUUAAGUCCCGAACGAGCGCAACCCUUGACCUUAGUUGCCAGCAUUCAGUUGGGCACUCUAGGGUGACUGCGGUGACAAACCGGAGGAAGGUGGGGAUGACGUCAAAUCAUCAUGCCCCUUAUGACCUGGGUACACACGUGCUACAAUGGAUGGUACAAAGGGCUGCAAAACCGCGAGGUUUAGCCAAUCCAUAAAGCCAUUCUCAGUUCGGAUUGUAGGCUGCAACUCGCCUACAUGAAGCCGGAAUCGCAGUAAUCGCGGAUCAACAUGCCGCGGUGAAUACGUUCCCGGGCCUUGCACACACCGCCCG